Molecule: ribosomal RNA, 396 nt
Filed under: uncultured bacterium
Lineage: Bacteria
Description: partial 16S ribosomal RNA
Rfam family: Bacterial small subunit ribosomal RNA
Source: RNAcentral
UGCGUAGGGGGCGAGCGUUGUCCGGAAUGAUUGGGCGUAAAGGGCGCGUAGGCGGCCCGGUAAGUCUGGAGUGAAAGUCCUGUUUUUAAGAUGGGAAUUGCUUUGGAUACUGUCGGGCUUGAGUGCAGGAGAGGUAAGUGGAAUUCCCAGUGUAGCGGUGAAAUGCGUAGAGAUUGGGAGGAACACCAGUGGCGAAGGCGACUUACUGGACUGUAACUGACGCUGAGGCGCGAAAGUGUGGGGAGCAAACAGGAUUAGAUACCCUGGUAGUCCACACUGUAAACGAUGAAUGCUAGGUGUAGGGGGUAUCGACCCCUUCUGUGCCGCAGUCAACACAAUAAGCAUUCCGCCUGGGGAGUACGGCCGCAAGGUUGAAACUCAAAGGAAUUGACGGGG